RNAcentral lists this ribosomal RNA (1516 nucleotides) under metagenome. RNAcentral describes it as "bacterial SSU rRNA". It matches the Rfam family "Bacterial small subunit ribosomal RNA". The record is from RNAcentral.
AGAGUUUGAUCCUGGCUCAGAACGAACGCUGGCGGCGUGGUUUAGGCAUGCAAGUCGAACGAGAAAGCCCCCUUCGGGGGGUGAGUACAGUGGCAAACUGGUGAGUAACGCGUGGGCAACGUGCCUCUAUGUCGGGAAUAACACUCCUAACGGGGUGCUAAUACCGGAUGUGGAUACGAGAACGCAUGUUCAUGUAUCUAAAGAUGGCCUCUCCUUGGAAGCUGUCGCAUAGAGAUCGGCCCGCGUCCCAUUAGCUUGUUGGUGGGGUCAUGGCCUACCAAGGCGAUGAUGGGUAGCCGGCCUGAGAGGGUGACCGGCCACACUGGGACUGAGAUACGGCCCAGACUCCUACGGGAGGCAGCAGUCGAGAAUCAUCCACAAUGGGGGAAACCCUGAUGGUGCAACGCCGCGUGCGGGAUGAAGGCCGUAAGGUCGUAAACCGCUGUCAGUAGGGAAGAACGGCCCGGUGUGAACAGCACCGGGAUCUGACGGUACCUACAGAGGAAGCUCCGGCUAACUCCGUGCCAGCAGCCGCGGUAAUACGGGGGGAGCAAGCGUUGUUCGGAAUUACUGGGCGUAAAGGGCUUGUAGGCGGCCCAACCAGUCGGGGGUGAAAGGCCACAGCUUACCUGUGGAUCUGCCUUCGAUACUAUUGGGCUUGAGGGCGGGAGAGGAGAGCGGAAUUCCCGGUGGAGCGGUGAAAUGCGUAGAUAUCGGGAAGAACACCAGUGGCGAAGGCGGCUCUCUGGACCGUUCCUGACGCUAAGCAGCGAAAGCCAGGGGAGCGAACGGGAUUAGAUACCCCGGUAGUCCUGGCCGUAAACGAUGGGCACUAGGUGUGGGAGGUAUCGACCCCUUCCGUGCCGCAGCUAACGCAUUAAGUGCCCCGCCUGGGGAUUACGAUCGCAAGGUUGAAACUCAAAGGAAUUGACGGGGGCCCGCACAAGCGGUGGAGCAUGUGGUUUAAUUCGAUACAACGCGAAGAACCUUACCGGGGCUUGACAUGCAGUGGACCGUCGUGGAAACACGACUUCUCUUCGGAGCCGCUGCACAGGUGCUGCAUGGCUGUCGUCAGCUCGUGUCGUGAGAUGUUGGGUUAAGUCCCGCAACGAGCGCAACCCUCGCGCCUAGUUGCCAUCAAUUCGGUUGGGCACUCUAGGGGGACUGCCGGCGAUAAGCUGGAGGAAGGUGGGGAUGACGUCAAGUCCUCAUGCCCCUUACGCCCCGGGCUACACACGUGCUACAAUGGCCGGUACAGAGGGAUGCAAUACCGCGAGGUGGAGCAAAUCCCAGAAAGCCGGUCUCAGUUCAGAUUGCAGUCUGCAACUCGACUGCAUGAAGGCGGAAUCGCUAGUAAUCGCGGAUCAGCAGGCCGCGGUGAAUACGUUCCCGGGCCUUGUACACACCGCCCGUCAAGCGAUGGAAGCGGGGGGCACCCGAAGUGGCCGAGCCAACCCUUUGGGGGGGCAGGUCCCGAAGGUGAAAUCCGUGACUGGCGCUAAGUCGUAACAAGGUA